GACGAACGCUGGCGGCAUGCCUUACACAUGCAAGUCGAACGGCAGCACGGGUGCUUGCACCUGGUGGCGAGUGGCGAACGGGUGAGUAAUACAUCGGAACGUACCUUAUCGUGGGGGAUAACGCAGCGAAAGUUGCGCUAAUACCGCAUACGCCCUGAGGGGGAAAGCGGGGGACCGUAAGGCCUCGCGCGAUUAGAGCGGCCGAUGUCUGAUUAGCUUGUUUGUGACGUAAAAGCUCACCAAGGCGAUGAUCAGUAGCUGGUCUGAGAGGACGAUCAGCCACACUGGGACGGAGACACGGACCAGACUGCUGCGGGAGGCAGCAGUGGGGAAUUUUGGACAAUGGGGGCAACCCUGAUCCAGCAAUGCCGCGUGAGUGAAGAAGGCCUUCGGGUUGUAAAGCUCUUUUGUCAGGGAAGAAACAGCAGCUCUAACACAGUCUGCGAAUGACGGUACCUGAAGAAUAAGCACCGGCUAACUACGUGCCAGCAGCCGCCGUAA
Molecule: ribosomal RNA, 501 nt
Filed under: uncultured bacterium
Lineage: Bacteria
Description: partial 16S ribosomal RNA
Rfam family: Bacterial small subunit ribosomal RNA
Source: RNAcentral